RNAcentral lists this ribosomal RNA (253 nucleotides) under uncultured bacterium. RNAcentral's name for it is "partial 16S ribosomal RNA". It matches the Rfam family "Bacterial small subunit ribosomal RNA", at positions 524 to 776 of the family's 1533-position model. The record is from RNAcentral.
UACGAAGGGGGCUAGCGUUGCUCGGAAUCACUGGGCGUAAAGGGUGCGUAGGCGGGUCUUUAAGUCAGGGGUGAAAUCCUGGAGCUCAACUCCAGAACUGCCUUUGAUACUGAGGAUCUUGAGUUCGGGAGAGGUGAGUGGAACUGCGAGUGUAGAGGUGAAAUUCGUAGAUAUUGGGAAGAACACCGGUGGCGAAGGCGGCGCUCUGGACCGAGACUGACGCUGAGGCGCGAAAGCGUGGGGAGCAAACAGG